GGGCCCGCACAAGCGGUGGAGCAUGUGGUUUAAUUCGAUGCAACGCGAAGAACCUUACCAUCCCUUGACAUCCAGUGAACUUUCUAGAGAUAGAUUGGUGCCUUCGGGAACACUGAGACAGGUGCUGCAUGGCUGUCGUCAGCUCGUGUUGUGAGAUGUUGGGUUAAGUCCCGCAACGAGCGCAACCCUUAUCCUUAGUUGCCAGCACGUAAUGGUGGGAACUCUGGGGAGACUGCCGGUGAUAAACCGGAGGAAGGUGGGGACGACGUCAAGUCAUCAUGGCCCUUACGGGAUGGGCUACACACGUGCUACAAUGGCGCGUACAAAGGGCAGCGAACCUGCGAAGGU
This 348-nucleotide ribosomal RNA is filed under the name uncultured bacterium. RNAcentral's name for it is "bacterial SSU rRNA". It matches the Rfam family "Bacterial small subunit ribosomal RNA", at positions 917 to 1264 of the family's 1533-position model. The record is from RNAcentral.